AGUCAUGUCCAGUUCUGUAAACAAAUUCUCAACUGCACCAGAAGGCCUGACAGUUAAGAGAACCCAGUGAAGAAACCUUUUGCAGAGAGAGAAAAGAACCCUUUUGAAUGUGAUCAAUCACGCUGAUUUAUUUGGAUGAUUUCUCUUCUGGAUUUCCUUAAACCAGGGAAAACCCAGGGACAGCAAUUGCUAUAAUUGAUGCAAACGAUCCCAGCCACACUCCCUGAUCCUGGUUCUGAAACUCAGAGAUGCAGCUGACCAGACUGAUGUGGCCAGCCUCACUCUGAAGGAUCCUGCAGCAGACAAAUUGCUGGAAUGUGUUCAGACGGAAUCCAGCUGCUACAACCGUCACACAAACUUCCUGAAAUAGAGGACAAAAGAGACAGAGGUCUUGCUAUGUUGCCCAGGCUGGUCUCAAGCUCCUGGCCUCAAGCGAUUCUCCUUCCUCAGCCUCCAAAAGUGCUGGGAUUACAGGCCACAAAAUGCAUGGCACAGGGAAGGGUUUGACAACUUUUUGAUGGAUGAACAAAGAAGAUUCAAGCCACUUGUCAACAAGCUCAAAGUGAUUGAAAGUGGAAGCAUUUACCCACACGCUCAUGCAGAAAAUGACAGGAAAUCAUCCAGAGACACUUGUGACAGAGAUGAGAACUGUCACUGUUGAGAGGUGCUGCGGAGAUGGGUGUCCACGGAUGACCGUUCGGAGGCCGACUUCGGGGAUGUGGCCCCAUUAGCUCAAGAGUGGGUGACUCCCUACCACACUGAUGGCGUUGGCCAGGACAGGACAAGCCUACUGCAGUGACACAGUGUCACUGAUCCCUGAUGCCCACGUGGGUGUUUUACUUUAGCUAAUGCUGCAGAGAUAAUGCAGACAGAGAAAUGAGGCCCCAGCGCUGAGCAGCCCAAUCACCUGGUUGUAAGCAGCGAGUGUUUCUGGCUCUGCUCCUGGGCCCCAAACCACUGUGGGCUCACGAAGAAUCUUUCAGAGUUGGAGUCAGAAUGUCAGGGUUUGAGUGUAGUCUCCACCCCUUAAUGACCUUGCAUUGAUAAUUCUAUUCCCCGAGCCUCAUUUUACCCAUCUAUAAAAUGAGGACAAAUAGUUUAUUUCCUGGUUACUUCACUAAGAUGUUGUAUCAAAAAAGAAUAUAUGCAAUAAAAUGCUUUCCUAAGUAAAAAAAGAUUUCCUAAGUCAAACACAGAUUUUAUUUUAUAUUUUUAGUUAAGGUUUGCAAAAUUAGAUGUCAGAUUAGGAAAUCCGGACUACCGUGUGUGAUCAGCAAAGUUAUGACUUCAAAAGAAAACAUAAUUGGCGGAAAAACCUUACAUGUGAGGCAGACAUGAUGAGAUCUAACAACCGGUGGGCAUUGGUGGAUGAGUUCUGUCUUACCUUGUGUUUAUCUUUUGAAAUCUAGGUAAUCUUAGCCAGGAGCUAUGUCUCAUGUCAAUAAUCGCAGCAGUUUGGGAGGCUGAGGCGGGAAGAUCACUUGAGCCCAGGAGUUCGAGACGAGCCUGAGCAACACAGUGAGACCUCAUCUCUACAAAAAAUUAAAAUAAAAUAAAAUAAAAUAAAAUC
This 1570-nucleotide long non-coding RNA is filed under the name Homo sapiens (human). Its description in RNAcentral is "uncharacterized LOC105373418, transcript variant 1 (LOC105373418)". Lineage: Eukaryota; Metazoa; Chordata; Mammalia; Primates; Hominidae. The record is from RNAcentral.